UUUCUUUUUUUUUGCGGGGAACUUUUCUCUUUCUUUUGAAUAUUCAGUUUAAUUAGCUUUCGGUAUGCCACGCCCUACUUGUGUCAUCUAUCAUCCAAAAAUGUGGUUAAUUAAAGCUACCUUGAUGACGGAAGUUUUAAUCCAAGGCUCCAAGACUAGUUUAUACACCUUACGGCACACAUCCAAAAACAUGAUUCACGAGGAGCAAACAACCCCCGGGUAUUUUUUUUUAUAAGAAGAAAAUCUUUUCAAGCAAGUCUGAAAAUUCCCGAACCUCAGUCCCACCCA
RNAcentral lists this long non-coding RNA (288 nucleotides) under Brachypodium distachyon (stiff brome). RNAcentral's name for it is "long non-coding RNA (BDIS_LNC000553)". The record is from RNAcentral. Lineage: Eukaryota; Viridiplantae; Streptophyta; Magnoliopsida; Poales; Poaceae.